Molecule: ribosomal RNA, 429 nt
Filed under: Pseudomonadota bacterium
Lineage: Bacteria; Pseudomonadati; Pseudomonadota
Description: Proteobacteria bacterium partial 16S ribosomal RNA
Rfam family: Bacterial small subunit ribosomal RNA
Source: RNAcentral
UGGGGAAUAUUGGACAAUGGGCGAAAGCCUGAUCCAGCCAUGCCGCGUGUGUGAAGAAGGUCUUCGGAUUGUAAAGCACUUUAAGUUGGGAGGAAGGGCAGUAAGCGAAUACCUUGCUGUUUUGACGUUACCGACAGAAUAAGCACCGGCUAACUCUGUGCCAGCAGCCGCGGUAAUACAGAGGGUGCAAGCGUUAAUCGGAAUUACUGGGCGUAAAGCGCGCGUAGGUGGUUCGUUAAGUUGAAUGUGAAAGCCCCGGGCUCAACCUGGGAACGGCAUCCAAAACUGGCGAGCUAGAGUAGGGCAGAGGGUGGUGGAAUUGCCUGUGUAGCGGUGAAAUGCGUAGAUAUAGGAAGGAACACCAGUGGCGAAGGCGACCACCUGGGCUGAUACUGACACUGAGGUGCGAAAGCGUGGGGAGCAAACAGG